This 492-nucleotide ribosomal RNA is filed under the name uncultured bacterium. RNAcentral's name for it is "partial 16S ribosomal RNA". It matches the Rfam family "Bacterial small subunit ribosomal RNA", at positions 29 to 507 of the family's 1533-position model. The record is from RNAcentral.
AGUGAACGCUGGCGGUAGGCCUAACACAUGCAAGUCGAACGUCAGCACAGUAAGAGCUUGCUCUUACGGGUGGCGAGUGGCGGACGGGUGAGGAAUACAUCGGAAUCUACUUUUUCGUGGGGGAUAACGUAGGGAAACUUGCGCUAAUACCGCAUACGACCUACGGGUGAAAGCAGGGGAUCUUCGGACCUUGCGCGAUUGAAUGAGCCGAUGUCGGAUUAGCUAGUUGGCGGGGUAAAGGCCCACCAAGGCGACGAUCCGUAGCUGGUCUGAGAGGAUGAUCAGCCACACUGGAACUGAGACACGGUCCAGACUCCUACGGGAGGCAGCAGUGGGGAAUAUUGGACAAUGGGCGCAAGCCUGAUCCAGCCAUACCGCGUGGGUGAAGAAGGCCUUCGGGUUGUAAAGCCCUUUUGUUGGGAAAGAAAAGCAGCAGGUUAAUACCCCGCUGUUCUGACGGUACCCAAAGAAUAAGCACCGGCUAACUUCGUG